This 591-nucleotide unclassified non-coding RNA is filed under the name Curvularia pseudobrachyspora. RNAcentral's name for it is "sequence contains 18S rRNA gene, ITS1, 5.8S rRNA gene, ITS2, 28S rRNA gene". The stretch from base 219 to 372 matches the Rfam family "5.8S ribosomal RNA". The record is from RNAcentral. Lineage: Eukaryota; Fungi; Ascomycota; Dothideomycetes; Pleosporales; Pleosporaceae.
UGGAAGUAAAAGUCGUAACAAGGUCUCCGUAGGUGAACCUGCGGAGGGAUCAUUACACAAAUUAAAAUAUGAAGGCUUCGGCUGGAUUAUUUUUAUCACCCUUGUCUUUUGCGCACUUGUUGUUUCCUGGGCGGGUUCGCCCGCCACCAGGACCACACCAUAAACCUUUUUUUAUGCAGUUGCAAUCAGCGUCAGUAUAACAAAUGUAAAUCAUUUACAACUUUCAACAACGGAUCUCUUGGUUCUGGCAUCGAUGAAGAACGCAGCGAAAUGCGAUACGUAGUGUGAAUUGCAGAAUUCAGUGAAUCAUCGAAUCUUUGAACGCACAUUGCGCCCUUUGGUAUUCCAAAGGGCAUGCCUGUUCGAGCGUCAUUUGUACCCUCAAGCUUUGCUUGGUGUUGGGCGUCUUUUGUCUUUGGCCUCGCCCAAAGACUCGCCUUAAAACGAUUGGCAGCCGGCCUACUGGUUUCGCAGCGCAGCACAUUUUUGCGCUUGCAAUCAGCAAAAAGGACGGCAAUCCAUCAAGACUACAUUUUUACGUUUGACCUCGGAUCAGGUAGGGAUACCCGCUGAACUUAAGCAUAUCAAUAA